Molecule: small RNA, 131 nt
Filed under: Leclercia adecarboxylata
Lineage: Bacteria; Pseudomonadati; Pseudomonadota; Gammaproteobacteria; Enterobacterales; Enterobacteriaceae
Description: RtT sRNA
Rfam family: RtT RNA
About the family: This family represents a bacterial cis-regulatory element known as RtT RNA. The exact function of RtT is unknown although it is thought that it may be involved in changing the cellular response in relation to amino acid starvation.
Source: RNAcentral
CCUUUUUGCUAUCUGCGAUCCAGACGAUUCGAACCUGCAGCAGGUUCGGGCCGAACGCAGUGAGGCAACGGAGCCGCUGGCGGCGACGGCCCGAAGGGCAAGCGAAGCGAGUCAUCCUGCACGACCCACCA